RNAcentral lists this long non-coding RNA (387 nucleotides) under Manacus vitellinus (golden-collared manakin). RNAcentral describes it as "lncRNA (ENSMVIG00005002818.1)". The record is from RNAcentral. Lineage: Eukaryota; Metazoa; Chordata; Aves; Passeriformes; Pipridae.
UUUAGAAAAUCGGAGUCCUUAGCCACAUUUGCUUUCAUACUUCUUUUUAUUUAUUCCUUUUCAGAAUCCAUAAUUCAUGUCCCCCUAUAAAACAGAAGGACAAAGAGAGACAAACCCAUGUUCCAUAAAAGCUGGACGUUUACAGAACCUACAGAGAGGACAGAGGCAAAUAUUCCUGGAAUAACAGAAAUAUGAGUUGUUCUGUCAUUUGCUGGUGUGCUUGUCCUGAGCAGCAGGAUGUGACAUCUCCCUGAAACAAGGACAUGAUGGAUAUAGGAACUUCAGCACUUCCCCAGUUCUCCAUGUCAGUGUGAUGCUCAUUUAGUAUCUCCUAUCUAUAACUUCAUCGUGUUGAGAUUCCCAGGGAAACAUAGGGAACUGGGGGCU